UGUAAGUUUUGUUUUGUUGUUUAUGGUACCAUUACGGGAAUUGAAUUUAUUUUUACCUAAAUUGUUACUAGAUAAUAAGAGUGAAUAAUUUUAAGAUUCCAGGUUGAAUAAAACAUGUAUGAUGAAAGCAUUGAUGUGACCAAUGCUGAGGAAGUGAGGAGCCCUACACCUGAGAGCUUGGCCAGCAACUUGAGCAGAAAUGAUGAUUCCAAGAGUAAAGACCCACCUCUAACUUCGAGGCAAACUCCUUCACGAAUGGGCAAGACUCGGCCUCACACGUCUGCUGCGGAACUUGAUUCUGAUCUCUCUGACAACACUGAUGAUGAUGAUAAUGAUGUCCAGGCUGCUCUACUGGAAGGAUCAUAUGAUCCUCGUGAGUUUGAUCACUUGAGUGUCGCCCAGGAUAUCAGAGAAGUUUUUCAAUUUAUCACUUGUUACACACCGCAGAACAUAGAGCUGGACUACAAGUUGAGGCCAUUUGUUCCGGACUUCAUCCCAGCAGUGGGAGACAUAGAUGGGUUCCUGAAGGUGGGGCGGCCGGAUGGUGAGAGUGAUGGGCUGGGCCUGCGCACCCUGGACGAGCCAUGUGCCGCACAGAGCGAGCCGGCUGUCCUCUGCUUGCGUCUACGCGCUAGUACCAAGCAGUCCUCUGCCAAGGCCAUGGUAGUGAAAAAAGUUGAGAAUGCAGACAAAAACCCCAAAGCUCUCGACAGGUGGAUUCAUGACAUCAAUGAGUUACACAAGAGCAAGCCAGCACCUACAGUCCAAUAUUCCAGAAACAUGCCAGACAUAGACAGCUUAAAACAUAAUCUCCCAACACGAUCUUUGCAGAAGCAUGCCGGACAUAGACAGCCUAAUGCAAGAGUGGCCUGCCAUGUUUGAGGAGAAACUGAACCAACUGGGCUUGCCAACUGCAGACCUGGACUGUGACUUGCCCACCUUGGUCGACAUCAUCUGUGGUAUCUUCGAUGUGCCUCGUUAUGAGUCCAGAAUAGAAUCACUUCAUGUUCUCUUCUCCUUGUACUCCGCUAUUAAAAAUUCACAAUUUCAGAAGCCUGAUAACUAACUCAUGAAAACUUUCCUUGAAACAGUUAAAAACGAUUCACUCUAGGUUAUAAUAUAUCAGUAAACUAGUCUCUAUUUGUAUGUUCCUGUGUUAGGAGAAAAUACUUAUAACUUAUGUUCUGUUUGUUUUGUGAUAAGUUAAUUCAAUUUAACAAAACCCCUUCUAUUAUUCAUAUUUUCCACUAAAAAGUUAGUAAGCAAAAAAUAAUAUGUAUUUUUUUUGUAAAAGUUUGUGAAACUGUCUUAAUGAGUCAAAAUAUAGAUUUUUUAAUAUAUGUUU
This is an RNA transcript of Homalodisca vitripennis (glassy-winged sharpshooter), 1345 nucleotides long. It is a transcript of the gene named intraflagellar transport protein 46 homolog, with no coding region annotated. The record is from RefSeq and is a predicted model, not a curated record. The transcript is spliced from 8 exons. Lineage: Eukaryota; Metazoa; Arthropoda; Insecta; Hemiptera; Cicadellidae.